UCUGAUCUGAGAGCUCUGGAAAAAGAUGGAUCAACAUGGUUAGUCCACAAGCCUGGUCAAAGCAAAGGGACUAGAGACAGUCUCAGUUUACUGCAAGGACCAGAAGUUGCUGUUCUGCAACCUGCUCAUCUGUGCAUUGAAACAGAAGCUUCUGUUUCACUGGAAAGACUUGUUCCCAAAGUACUUUUUCUGUUAGAAGUUCAGUAAAAAGUACUUGAGAGCUGAACUCUUGCUCACUGCUGGAAGAGGCUCUCUUGGCAACAAGGGAAAACAGAGCAUGCCUUUCAGUUCCCAAAUACAAUCUGUAGAUUUUAUGCUACUUUCAUACUUUGGAUGAUCUCAGCAGCGUGCGUGCACACAUGUGUAUUUAUCUGUAUAGGUAGAUAUUAGUAAGCCUUGCCAAGAGAUCCCAGUGUCACCAGAUUUAGGCUAGGUGUAGGUGGCAGCGACCCAUAUAACCCUUCUAUGGAGCACAAUACACAUGGUCUGGUCAGCCAGUACAAGUACUUUACCUUUCUCUGCUUUCUGAGUCUUCACCUCAUACUCUUGUAGCCUCACCAGCAGCUCCUCCUUCUCCCUCAACAUUUGCUCUUUCUCCCUCUCAAUUGUCUCCCUCUUCUUCUUCUCAUUUUCUAGUUGUUGCCUGUUAGAAACAGAUUUCAUGCUUGAAGCUCACUUUCACACCGAAGCUAGAGCCAGGCAAGAAAGUUGGCUGGGCAUCUCUCCAGGCAAUUGAGUGGGAAGCGACCGCCACAAAAUAAGAGCCAGAAGACAAACACAUAUAGGCUGUUCCUUCAUCACUUCAGAAUUUUUGCUCAGUUUUGGAUACCCCAUUUCAUAAAAACAUUUGUAUUUUUGUUGCCCACCAGAGAAAUUUAGAACACCAAAUAGCUGCUAGAUGCAGAGAAAGAAAACCACAACUCCACUGCACAGCAGAGGAGAUUUAACUUUGUUACUUCUGUCAUAAGGCAAGUCAAGGAGGUGUAAAAACGAGCACUGAGGGAAUGAAGACAAACAAGGCACAAAUACAAGAGAAAAGCAACACAAUUUCUUGAAUCAUAAGCAACCUGCAGCCAGUGGCAGAAGUCCAACAGAAUUGCUAAUCCUUUUUCCUUGCCUGUAAGAGGUCUCCCAGUCCCCUCUUCUCUCUUCACAGUGUACACACAUGCUCCCUUGUGAAGGUUUCUCCCUUACUCCCAACCAUCCCAUGGUCCAACACAUGAAUCAGGUCCUAGCACUCAAGAGCCAGGAGAACCCCUCUCCACGUGUGCACCACCACACAAGCCCACUGUGCCUUUACUUGCACAUUUCCUUGCAAUUCUCAAGACUGCAGACAGGACAGCAGACUACAUGGACACAGGUCCAAGCCAGAAGAGUAACACUUACAGUCCUGCUGCAGGAUAUCCUGAGUCCACCCCUGUAAGCCAGAGCCAUAGGGCCACACGUACACCUUAUGAACGUGGGACAGCUCGUGGCCUUGCCUAAGCGAAACCCAUGUUACCGACUGCUGCUCUGCAGGUACAGCUGCCUGCUCACCCUGGGCAGUUUGGUGUCAUUUCUCUCUGCCACCCCAUCCCUGCUGUCUGUGUUCAAGCUCACCUUUCCAUUUGUUUCUGUUGCUUCUCCUCCCGGGCCUGGGCUUUCAUCUGUUGCACCUCAAUGGUGUCGGGCUUCCUGCGCCGCAUAUACAGUUCAUGGUUGCCCAUGCAGAGCUGCAGGAUCCUCUUGUUAAUUCUCAGACGAGGGGCGUAAAACACAAAGUCCUGGAAGAGAGACACCACACAGUUUUCCAAGCAUGCCUUCUCUUCUCCCAGCUAACUGCAGCCAGAUCAUCUUGCCACUAAUUUCACUGUAAUCGAGACACAUACACAGGCCAUUUAACUAUAACAGCAGGGACUGCCAAUAUCAUCUGAAGCCAAAAUGAUUGUUAUUUAUAUUAUCCAUUUAAAGUCUACAUAGAAUUGAAAAGUUACUCUUCUAGAAAAGGUAUAUUUUAGAGAAAAUUAACAAUCUCCAUUUAGAGGAGACUUUGUGGAGUUCGGAUAGGUUACAGAAGAUUCUGGGUUGGCAGGUAACCAUCUGGGCAACUCAUAGACCUCUAGUAUUGAGUAAUUAGUUUUUAACUUUGCAUGGGUUUGUGACUGAAAGAUAAAGCAUGAAACUAAAAAUAUACUGCAGACUAUUAAAGUAACUUUGUAGAA
Aquila chrysaetos chrysaetos is the source of this 2201-nucleotide long non-coding RNA. RefSeq lists it as uncharacterized. The transcript is spliced from 2 exons. The record is from RefSeq and is a predicted model, not a curated record. NCBI's taxonomy places the organism in Eukaryota, Metazoa, Chordata, Aves, Accipitriformes, Accipitridae.